Molecule: long non-coding RNA, 11074 nt
Organism: Peromyscus californicus insignis
Lineage: Eukaryota; Metazoa; Chordata; Mammalia; Rodentia; Cricetidae
Exons: 6
Source: RefSeq, a predicted model, not a curated record
CUCAGUUAAUGAUAGGUCAACUCUCCGAUGCACUGGGGAGGGACGUCCAGCCCCUGCUGCCAGCACCCCUCCCCCCAGAAACACCUCUGGGCUUCCCAAUUCUCGCUGCUCCCCCCUCCCCCAGCAGCAAGGGACCCAGGCGUCCGACCUGGUUGAGAGGGGAUGGAGAUGAGGAGGCGUAUGAAGAAUGGGGGUGUAGAGUGAGGGGGAGGGGAGCUGGGGGUUAGCUCGGAGCUUGGGCCGUCAGGAUGAGAGGGUCGGGCUUUAAAAAAAAAAAAAAGGUGAGGAGACAAUUUGGUUCUCGUGUCGCUGGGUAAAGUGCGGAGCUGGAAGAGAGAAGGAGGGAGGAGGGAGGGAGGGGGAGGGGAGCUGCUGAGGGAUGGGGGAGCCUCCGAGGGGAGAGGGAUGAGGGGGGAAGGGAAGCGGUUGGGGAGCGGGGUCUGAGUGGCAGAAGGAAGCUGAGGAAGAAGAGAGAUAGAUCCGGAGAGGGAGGGAGACGGAGAGAGACAAGGAGAUCGGAAAGAGAGAGAGACCCAGAGACUGAGAACAGAGGUGGGGGAGGGAAGAAUUUGGGGGAGGCAAUGACUGGUAGCAGAAGGAAGUUGAGGAGACACACACAGAGAGAAAUAUCCAGAGAGAGAAGGGACAGAAGCAGGAAGAGAGACAGAGAACAGCAAGAGAUGAGGGAGAAAUAGAGGGUUUAACCCUGAUGGAAAAGGAGGAUGCCGUUCGGUUCCCAUCAAGACAAGAAUCGGGUUGGGGAGCAAAGAGGAGAGAUAAAUGUAUCUAGGACUGUGCUGGAGAGCUAGGCAACAGUUGCGAGCAUUGCUGUCACUUCUAGAACUAACCAAAUCCUUGGGAAGUGGGCAAGCUAAGAUUCUGAGAUGUGAGGCCAUUCAUUCACGAUCACGCAGGGGAUACAGGCGGAGCUGGGAUAAAACAGCCUUUUUGUGGAGAGAGGCCAGCAAUGGAUAGAAAAGGAAACCAAAGCCUCGGAAAUUAAAAAGACUUGCUCAAGGUCACAGCAUGAGUUUGCAUAAAAUCCGCGGUGGUAGAAUGUAGCAGCUGGGGACAGCAAGAUGGCUUAGCAGUAAGCCCUUAAGCUCUCUUCACAGCCAGUGAGGACCUUGUACUCCUGUCCCUCCUGCUCCCAUCUCCUGGCCUGGCUGAGAAUGAAACUCAGGGCCUCAGGAAUAAAAUCAAAGCCAGGUGUGACGGCAGAGAGCUUGCUGAAGGGAGAGGGGCACAGUUGGAGACCAGCCCAUGCUACACAGCAAAACUCCAUCUCAAAAGCAAAGCAAACAAGAACAAAUAAAUAAAAAAAAAUAAAAGAGUGGAGAACGAUCCCAGUAACUUUUCUUUCUCUAGCUCUCCUCCUCCCUCCCUCCCCACCCCAAAUUACAUAUAUAUUUGUUUUUUUUUUUUUUUGAGAUAGGGUAGGAUCUCUCUUGCUAUGCAGCCCAGACUGACUUCAAACCGUUGAUCCUUCUGCCUCCAACCCCUAAGUUCAGAUCCUAUAGGCACGUCAUGAUGCCUACCUGCAUCUCUUAUUUUCUGAAUCCAUCCCCCACUGAAAGGAAACAGGACUUCCUGAAGAAACAUCUUCUCCAAAGCCAAGGACAGUCACAUUAAAAGUGUACUUUGGCCCCAAAAUAAGAAAGUGCUCAAGGGGCUUGAGAAAUGGCUCAGUGGUUUCUUCUCUCCCAGAUAAACUGGGUUCAGUUCUCAGCACCCACAUCGAGAAGUUCACAGCCAUCUAUAACUCCAAUUCCAAGGGAUCCAACAUACUCUUCUGGCCUCUGUGGGAACUAUAAACUGUAUGUAUACCUAUGCAUGCUGACAAACACUCGUACACAUAAAAUUAAAAAUAAAGAUAUCUUUAAAAAGAAAAAGAAUGAGCUCAAAAAUGAUGGGAGAUGGUCAAAAAGGGACAUGGCAACUAGCUCAAAGAGUUUCCUGAGUCAAAUUUAGGACAAUUUGAGCAACAGAUGAGUCAUUAAAGUGAAGGCUUAUAAUCCACUGAUAUAUAGAUAUAUAAUGUAUAUAAUAUAAAUAUAUAAUAAUAUAUCUAGAUAGAUGGAUAGGUAGAUAGAUAGAUAGAUAGAUAGAUAGAUAGAUAGAUAGAUAGAUAGAUAGAUAGAUUAUUUGAACUGGGGAUAUGGCUCAAGUCGGUAGAGGGCUUUGCCUAGCAUACGUGUGGCCGUGAGUUUGAUUCCACGUUUGUGGGUAUAUAUGUUUAUGAGUGUGUGAGUGCGUUUGUAAUAUAUACUGAUUGCUAGUUUGACAUAGGAUUUCUUUAUGUAACCCAGAUUCUACACAGGUCUUUUUUCUUAUUUGAAACAGGGUCUCAUCAUGCCCGGACUUGGUGGAACUUGCUAUGUAGUUAAAUAUGACCUUAAACUCCCUGAUCCUCCUGCGUCCACCUCCUGAGUCCUGGGGUGACAAGUCCAAACCACCAUUCCUGGCUUAUGCGUUGCUGGGGAAGGAAAACAGGGCUCAUCCAUGCUAGACAAGCACUCUACAAACUAAGCCACAUUGUCAGCCAUGGGUUGGUGUUUUUUGUUUGUUUGUUUGUUUGUUUGUUUUGUGUGUGUGUGUGUGUGUGUGUGUGUGUGUGUGUGUGUGUGUGUGUGUGGUUUGUUUUGUUUUUUAAAAUUGGGCAAAUUAAAGGGCUCACUGGGUCAAAGUGCCACCCGAGCCUCAAGGCCUGAGCCCACUCCUUAGAACCCAGAAUGCAAAGAGAGACCUGACUUCUGAAAGGUGUUCUCUGACCUCCACGCUCCAACAGUGGAACAGUCACACCUGCAUUCAUGCAAGCACACAUACAAUAAUAAUGAUGACGACAAUGGAUAAAUAAAGCUAGUAAACAAACAAGGAAAAAGGUUCGUUUCAGUAGCAUACCCAUCUACACAUGUACAUGGAAUGGUACAAGAUAACACACACGUGACAACGCCAGUUGUAACAGCAGUUGCAAGUAGGAAUCACCGACAGGGGCUGGAGAGACUGCUCAGAGGAUUAGAGCAAGAGUGCUCUUUCAGAGGACCCCAGUUCAAUUCCCAGCACCCACAUGGCAGCUCAUAACAUCUGUAACUACAGAUCUAAGAGGUUCCAACACCUCUGGCUUCUGAGGUCACCUGCACUCACGCACACACAACCACACACGGAGAUUCACAUUAUUAAAAAUAAAUAUGUUUUUAAAUCACCAACAGAUAUUAAAUCAAAUGGUAGCAGAAUCUCCUCACUGAAUACCUACUAAUUACCAAGAGAUUAAAAGCAUCUUUCUCAGCUAGGGUUGUAGCUCAAUUGGUAGAGUGCUUGCCUAGGAUACACUAAAUCUUCGGUUCUGCCCCUAGCACCAAUAUUAACCAGGCAUGGUGGUGUGUGUCUGUCAUCCUAGUGAUAGUUUCUACACUAGGGAGGUAGAGGCAGGAGGAUCAGGAGUUCAAGGUCAUCCUUAAGUACAUAGUGAAUUUUAGCCCAUCCUGGGCUACUAUAUUAAACCCUGUCUCAAAAAACAAGCAAAGAAAAAAAAAAAAACCCACAUCAUUUAUUGUGAUUUCUUGACCCAGCAGGUACCACUUUGAGCAAGCUAGUUUCACUGAUACUGGGCAGACAGACUCCUUACACUAGGUGUUACAAAGUGAGUAAACCAUUACUUCCUUCCUAUGGUGUUCCCGCUGAGAAUGUAUGACCUGAAUCCACUGAGAAGGACAUCGUGGGGCUGUCCUCUGCAAUAAAAAUGUCAACAUGAAAGAGUAAAGGAAAAGUGACAGAACUUUAUAAAAGAUGAAGAGAGCCACUGGAGUACUCAGAGCUCCACAGAGAUGUGGUUUGGGAGUGCCGGGUCAUCCAUCCCAGCACUCUGGAAGAUGAUGAAAAAUGGCAAAUCAGAGGUGAGGCUUCCCAGGGUUCUGCAUGGCGCUGUCCUUCCUGUCACAGCCGCUAUCGGAGACUGGCAGCCAAGCCAUGGUAUGCACUAUCCCCCCUGCCCCCCACUCCCGGCCACCAAGCACAUCAAGUUGGUGGGGUACAUGAUGCGGGAGGUAUGCACCCUAUGAAGGGUGGCCACGGAGCAUCUCAAGGUGUCCAAGGACAAGAACACACUCAAGUUCAUCAAGAAAAGAGUGGGCACAUACAUUCGUGCCAAGAAGAUGCAAGAGGACCUAAGCAACGUGCUGGUGACCAUGAGGAAGGCGGCAGCCAAGAAGGACUGAUGCACCUGCCCCCCAUAAACGUUUGUGCGCGUACACACAAAAAAAAAAAGAAAGAAAAACGAAUCAGAGGCAGCGUGUCCUUAUGUGCAUUCUUUGAGCGGAUUUCCUGGGUGCACAGGAGGUUCUCAGAUACUUUGGUCUGAUCCAAGUUUCUAAAAAAUUGUCUAGUGAGGAAAAGGCUGUGUGUGUCUGCUAAAGAGAAAGUCUGAAGGCACAGCAAACGUGGGCAGUCUGGUUAGGAAAGAGAAAUGGAAAUAGAGGCCUGCCAUGGUGGAGACUGGAGAUACCAGAACCUGGCCCUGCUCCCUGAGGACUUGCAGGCAGAUAAUAGUUGCUAGGCGGAGAGAGAGAGACAUUUUCUUCAGUGACGUAAUCACUAGUAGGGAGGCCACUCCCAGGUAAAUAAUCCUUCAAAAAGGAUAUUGUGAGAAACCCUGAUGAAAUAUAUUAGGUCACCACAAAUAAACAAACAAACAAAUAAAUAACAACAUCAACAACAACAGAAAACAACGUGGGCUGGCAGGAUGGCUCACCAGUUAAAAGAGCUUGCCACCAAACUUGAUAAACUUCCAUGCAUGUGCCUUGGCACUAUGUAAAUGAAAAAGGAAAGUUAAACAAAAAAUAGAAAGCCUCUGCUUCCUGAAUGCUGGGAUCAAAAGUAUGCACCACCAUGUCCAGAUUAAAAAAGAAAGAAAGAAAGUAAAGUAAACAUGAAAAUAGAAAGAUAAUUAUCUGGUAAGACAGGUAUCAGGAGAUGGGAGAAGGGAACAAGAGGUGGUAAUAGGAGGUAAUUGUGACCAAAAUGCAUGAUAUACAUGCAUGAAAGUAUAUAUUUUAUAAUGGGUUGGCUGGGUGGUACACAACUUUAAUCCCAGCACUCAGGAGGUAGAGGCAGGUGGAGCUCUGUGAGUUCCAAGACAGCCAAGGACACACACACACACACACACACACACACACACACACACACACAUACACACACACACACACCCUAGAUCCCUCCUAAUGAGGACACAAGAAGAAGAGAAGGCGCAAGUUGAUUAAGGUCUGGGGAUACAGCUCAGCUGGUAGAGUGCUUGUCUAGCAUGUGACUGCAUGAUGCCCUGGAUUCAGUCCCCAGCGCUGCAUAAAACUAUAGUGGAGACUGGAAGAUCAGAAGUUCAAGGUCAUCCUUAGCUGUAUAAAGAGUCUGACCUCAGCCUUGGUUACAGGACAUCCUGAUUCAAAAACAACAAACAAACAAACAAAAAUGUUCCAAGUUCAAAGGUCCGUAUUCAUCCAAGAGGCCUCCUUUGGCCGCCUUUUAUGUUCUGAGUUUUGCCCUCAAACCCGAGAACAGCUGAGCCUGGCCGUGGUGGUGUUGCAAAGAGACCAGGUAAGCUGUGGAUGAUUGGCAGCUACACAAGAAGGCCGCUGAGCUGGAGGGAGAGUAUGAAAAGGAUGCUGUUCAUGGUGAGGGCUAGCCUGAUCUGAUGCAAGAAGGGGCAACAAAUAGAAGAAGGAAGAACCAGGGCAUGGUGGUUCCUGUCUCUAACCCCAGCUCUUGGAAGGCUGAAGCAGGAGGAUUGCUGUGAGUUGGAAGCCUUCUUGGGCAAUAGAAUGAGACUCUUAAACCUCUAAAAACGUAAAAAUAAAAAUAAUAGUGGGCUGCCGAGAUGACUCAGCAGGACUGCAGCCAAGCCUGAUGGCUUGACUUUGAUCCUCAAAACUCACAUGGUGGAAGCAGAGGACUGAUUCAAGCAAGCUGUCCUCUGACCGCCACUACGGUUUCAGCCGCUCCCUCCCUCCCUCCCUGACAGCUGUAUGUAAUUCUGCUCCAGAUCUUCGAUGAUGCUAGGCAGUAUACCAAGGUGAGAAGUCAGCUGAAGCUUCAUUUAUGCAGCUAUGGGCAAGUGGUCAUCCAUGCCAGGGUACAGCUGCUUUGGGGUCACCCACACUUCUACAGGUAACCCGUCACCCAUCCUCCUGUCAGUAAGCCAAUCAACAAAUUCACCAAGCUGGAAUUUGGUGCAGUAACUACUCUGGUUCUUUGUUGAUGACCUAUCUUGAGAGAAUAAACAUCUGUUAACAUCUGCCCAGGAGAAGUGAAUGCAAACAUUAUCUGAAGAGAUGCAACUCUGCCCUGAAGAAAAGGGCCACAAAGCUCAUAACAGCACUUUUUUUUUUCUUGAUGCCAAUCAUGUUUAACCCAAAUGCCAUAUAAGCCUCAAGUCCAGGCAUAACUUCCAGAUUCCAGGGGAGACGGAAAAAAAGGACUAUGCUAAGCAAGAAAACAGAUAAAAAUGCAGGGUGGGAGCUGGGUAGUGGUGGCACAAGCCUGUAAUCCCAGCACUCUGGAGGCAGAAGCAGGUGGGUCUCUGUGAGUUCGAGGCCAGCCUAGUCUACAGAGCAAGUUCCAGGACAGCCAGGUCUACACAGAGAGACUCUGUCUCAACAAAACAAAAAUGCAGGGUAGGGGGUGUUCUACAGAAACCCUGCCCUUCACUAUUCCAAGGGUGCUGCCUGGAUCAGGGAUCAAUUGUUGCAGGGAGGGAGAGAGAGAGAGAGAGAGAGAGAGAGAGAGAGAGAGAGAGAGAGAGAGAGAGAGAGAGACCAGACACUGCAUUUCCUAAUAGAACUUUAAUAGCCCCAUCUAUCACGUAACCCAGCCUGGCCUUGAACUGACUAUGUAGUAGCCAAGGAUGACCUUGAGUUCCCGAUCCUCCUGUCUUUAUCUCCUAAAUGGUGGGAUUACAGAUGUGUGCCCCACAAACUCAACUUUAGGAAGUACUCUUGACAAAACAAUAAGAAAUCAAACCCGUGCUUUCCCAAGCUUCUUCCAAAUUCUAGUUCACAAAGAUGGAUAGAUAAAUUCAACCAUAGCAUGGAAUGUCUUUAGAAGACCACAGAACAUGAGGAAUCUAUACCACAAACUGCCAUGUUUCUCCCCAAAAAAAACAAAAAAUAAAAACAAAUGAAGGAAAAGAAGGGGAGGAGGGAGGGAGGAGAGGAGGGAGAGCAUGAAGGAGGAGAAAGAGGGUGUCUAGGUAGAUCCUGAGGUAAAGAUGCUUGCUGCCAAGUUUGAUGACCCAAGUUCAAUCCCUAGAGCCCACAUGGGGAAGGAGAGAAUGGACUCUUACAGGUUGUCUUCUGACAUGUCCCCUACACAUGUCCCGUGGUGCACACCUGCACAGCCACAGAUAAAUAAAUGUAAUAAUAUUUUUUUAAAAGGAAAAAGAGAGACUGUCUGAGCGUAAAGGAGGCUUUGGAGAGCCAUCGGCUAAAUGCCCAUGUGUAAUUUACAUACACAUUUGCAACCCGCUCCCAGUAAAAAGGCAAUUUAUGAGACCAGUGUGGGGGGAAUGAACAGUAAGUAAAUAUUAGAUGGCAUUAACUUACUCUCUUUGGUUUGUUUGUUCGGGCUUCAUCGUGGUACCGUGGCUAGUGUGGCUGGCGUAAAUAAAAGAGUACUUCUUACUCGGAGACAUACUAAAAUUCGUGAGGACAAAAUGAGUUGCUGGUGUCUGAGGCUGGCUUUAAAAUAAGGCAGCAAAGUACGGAAGGGGGACAUGGCAGUGUCUGACUAAAAAAAGAUCCGCCAUAUGCUGGCAAUUGUUGGAACCGAAUGAAGGGUGCAUGGGAUUUCCUUAUACUAUUCUUUCCAAAUUUUAAAAGUAAAUGUUGGGGGGCGGGGCAGAAAAAGAGUGGCAGAGCCAGUAAAUACCAAAAAGACUUUAACAAAACAAAAUUCAAGAGGCUGGAUGAAGUCCUGGCUCUGAAGGGAAACCUAAAAAACACAGCCUCCCCACACACACACCAUUUUUUCUUUUUUCUUUUUUUUUUAUGCUGUUAAACACAGAGCCUCAAGUAGGCAUGCUCAGAACCCCUGAGCCACCGAGCCCUAGAAAAGAUAUUCUUUUUUCUUUCCACUUUUAUUUUAUUUGCAUUGGUGUUUUGCCUGUGUAUACAUUUGUUUGUUUGUGUGUGUGUGUGUGUGUGUGUGUGUGUGUGUGUGUGUGUGUCAAAUUUUAGGUGUGAUGUGUAUUGGCAUUGUACUCAUGCAAAAGAAUGUGUCCUUGUAAGAUCCCUAAAACUGCAUGUGUGAUACGUGUUUGUACGUGUUCAUGUUUCUGUGUGCUCAGACACAUGUAUGUGUGUGUGUGUGCAUGUGAGUGCCUGGGUGCAGGAGGUCAACACAAGACAUCUCCUUCAAUCUCUCUCCACCUUAGUUUGUUGAGACAGGGUCUCUCACUGAACUUAGAGAUCAAGAAUUAGAUUAGGCUGACUGGCCAGGGAGCCCCAGGAAUCCUCCUGUCUCCACUUCCUCAGUUCUGGGGUUUCAGACUGCCGAUGUGUGCUCCAAACAUGACUUGUAUGUGGGGGGUGGGGAUUAAACUCAGGACCUCACACUUGGGUGGCAAACCAGUGAGCCAUCUCCCCAGCCCCCUAACUUAAACAAGAAAAUGACACAAUAUCUACUAUUUAUUCUCUCUCUCACCACUCCUGCUUUGUUGAGACAGAGCCUCAGUCUAUACCCCGUUAGCCUUAAACUUGCAAUCUCCUUUGGGGGGACAAAGUUUCUGUAUGUAGCUCUGGCUGUCCUAGAACUCGCUCUGUAGACCAGGCUGGCCUUAAACUCACAGAGAUCCAUCUGCCUCCCCCUCCUAAGUGCUGGGAUUAAAGGCGUGCACCACCAUGUGUGUACUACCAUACCUGGCUCUAAAACUUAUUUUGAAAUGGUAAAGAAAAAUGUAUUGAUAAUCACAGCUACUCAGCAGACAGAGGCAGGAGGAUGCCAAGUGUAAGGUUUGCCUGAGCUAUAGAGAGAGUUCACACAAGGACCCCAUCACAUCCAAACUAUAAAAAUGAUUGGGAUGUAGCUCAGUGGUAGAACACUUGUUUGGCACAUGGGAGAUCCUGGGUUCAAUCCCCAGUGUUUUGGGGGGCAGAAGGUACAUGGUGUGUGGAGAGAAAGGAGGGAAGCUGGAGAGUUGGCUCAGCUGUGGAGGACAUUGGCCAUUCUUCCAGAGGACUCAAGUUCAGUUCUCAUUACCCGUGUCAGACAGCCACCUGUAACUCCAGUUUCAAGGGAUUUGACACCCUCUUCUGGCCCCCGUUGGCACUGCACCCAUAUGUGCGUGCGCGCACCAGCAUGAGGAGGCAGAAUAAAGGAAAAGAGAAAGAUGAAGGAGAGAAUGGAGAAAUAUCUAAAAGCUGGAUGGUUCAGAUAGGUGGAUAAAAUUAUUCCUUAUCUUUCAUUUUUCUCCCACCCGCCUUAUUCUAUUAAUUAAUCAGUUAAUUAAUUUUGUGAGCAGGGGAUGGAGGCACACCAUGGAAUGUGUGGGUCAGGGAAGAACAUGAAGGAAUUGGUUCCUUUCCUUCCGCCACGUUGGUCUGAAGGACAGAGCCAAGGUUGUGAGGCUGGCGGCAAGCAUCUGCACUUGCUGAGCCAUCUUACUGACCCCUAAAUGGUUCUCGCUAUUGCACUCAUCACUGCCUACACUGUAUCUGCUACUUUUUACUGUACAUUGUUCCCACCUCACUAGAAAGGUAUAUAAUCUCAUAAUGCUAGGAAGGAGCGCUUCAUCUUUUCUAUUGCAUUCCUAGGAUCUAACACAGUAUUCAGUACAUGCAAGAUGGUAGUGCACUGGCUGGUUUUGUGUGUCAACUUGACACAAGCUAGAGUCAUCAGAGGAAGGCGCCGAGCCUCCGUGGAGGAAACGCCUCUAUGAGAUCCAGUUGUAAGGCAUUUUCUCAGUUAGUGAUCAAUGGAGGAGUGUCCAGCCCAUGGUGGGUGGUGCCAUCCCUGGGUGCUGGUCCUGGGUUCUAUAAGAAAGCAGGCUGAGCAAGCCAUGGGAAGCAAGUCAAUAAGCAAUACCCCUCAAUGGCCUCUGCAUCAGUUUUUGUCUCCAGGAUCUUACCCUGCUUGAGUUCCUGUCCUGACUUACUUCAGUGAUGAACUGAAAUGUGGAAAUGUAAGUCAAAUAAACCCUUUCCUCCCCAACUUGUUUUUUGGUCAUGUGGUGUUUUGCCCCAGAAUAGAAACCCUAACUAAGACAAUUAUAUGGAACUUCUGGAGAAUUUCAUUAACUGGUCUAGUCUCCCUGCUACCCUGGAGUGAUGGAGAUUGAAUCUAGGGCCUCCAGAAUGCUAAGCAAGUGCCCUACCACUGAGCCACACCCCCAGCCUCUCUCUGUGAGAAUCUAGGCAGGGAUUCUACCACUGAGCCACACCUCAUCCCCUCACUGGAGAUUCUAGGCAGGUGCUCUACCAUUUAGCUAUGCCUCCAGCUCCUUAGUGGUAAGUUCUAGAUAGAGGCUCUAUCACUAAGCCCCACCCCCACCCCUCACUAGGGGAUUCUAGGAUGGGCUCUACUCCUAAAUCAUAUCCCUAAUCCCUCAUCUGGGCAUUCUAGACAAGAAGCAAUCUACAGCUGAGCUAUAACCAUAACCCUUUAAGUAUGUGUGUGUGUGUGUGUGUGUGUGUGUGUGUGUGUGUGUGUGUGUGUGUGUGUGUGUACAGGGGCUGGAGAGAUGGCUCAGAGGCUAAGAGCACUGGCUGCUCUUCCAAAGGACCUGGGUUCAAUUCCCAGUACCCACAUGGCAGCUCACAACUGUCUAUAACUCUGAUUCCAGGGGAUCUGGUGCCCUCACAUAGACCUACAUGUAGGCAAAACACCAAUGCACACAAAAUUAAAAAAUAAUAAUAAAGCAUUGCUUUAUUAAUUACUUAUGUGUGUGUCUGUGUGAAUGUAUGAGCGCUCGUGCAUGUGGUUACCCACCAGAAGAGGUCAUCAGACCCCCUGGAGUUGGAGUUACAGGCUAUGGUGAGCCAUCAGACAUCGGUGCUUAGAAUCAAACUCUGGUUCUCUGGCAGAGCAACAU